This 614-nucleotide ribosomal RNA is filed under the name Papiliotrema laurentii. Its description in RNAcentral is "partial large subunit ribosomal RNA". It matches the Rfam family "Eukaryotic large subunit ribosomal RNA", at positions 67 to 670 of the family's 3401-position model. The record is from RNAcentral. Lineage: Eukaryota; Fungi; Basidiomycota; Tremellomycetes; Tremellales; Rhynchogastremaceae.
GGGAAAGGUUCCCUAGUAACGGCGAGUGAACCGGGAAGAGCUCAAAUUUGAAAUCUGGCGUCCUCAGGGCGUCCGAGUUGUAAUCUAUAGAGGCGUUUUCCGUGCCGGACCGUGUCCAAGUUCCUUGGAACAGGAUAUCAAAGAGGGUGACAAUCCCGUACUUGACACGACGACCGGUGCUCUGUGAUACGUCUUCUACGAGUCGAGUUGUUUGGGAAUGCAGCUCAAAAUGGGUGGUGAGUUCCAUCUAAAGCUAAAUAUUGGCGAGAGACCGAUAGCGAACAAGUACCGUGAGGGAAAGAUGAAAAGCACUUUGGAAAGAGAGUUAAACAGUACGUGAAAUUGUUGAAAGGGAAACGAUUGAAGUCAGUCGUGACCGAGAGGCUCAGCCGGUUCUGCCGGUGUAUUCCCCUCGGUCGGGUCAACAUCAGUUUUGUCCGGUGGAUAAGGGCGGUAGGAAGGUGGCACCCUCGGGUGUGUUAUAGCCUGCCGUCGCAUACAUCGGGUGAGACUGAGGAACGCAGCUCGCCUUUAUGGCCGGGGUUCGCCCACGUCCGAGCUUAGGAUGUUGACAUAAUGGCUUUAAACGACCCGUCUUGAAACCACGGACCAAU